CUGACAACUGAAACAGGGUGUCGACAGUCAGAGUAGGAGGAGGGCAGAAGUGUGCACUGGAACACCAGAUGUUUGAGGCUGAAAAUUAUAUGGAUGCAGAAUAAAUAACCCCAAAAUAACCUUCUAUCUGUGGUGUCCAGUCCCCCUCCUUGGCCAGGCAUCAAAGCUACGUGUUGUUCGUUUAAAACAUGAACAUCCUGAUCCCAGGACUUUGAAGAUAGGAAUCACCCAUCCCAAACCAGACACACUGCCCACAGUAGCUGAGAAAGAAGCCAAAGGUGGUGAAUGAUUAGCAGAACUGCCAGACAGCUCCAGAGUCUGGACACAGAGUACCAGGAAAACUGUUUCGUGGGGGAAACUCAGACUGAUCAAAAGAGCCGAGGAAGUCCUUUGUGGCCUGUCUACUCCAUGGAAAUAGCUCUAGGAGAGGGAAGACCAGCUGCCUUCAUCAGGAAUUCACAGGUGGCAUUUCUAUGGGGAAUCAGCACAAGGGAAAAGGAGACAUUUCAUUUCUAAGUUAUGGUGGCAUCACAAUCACACCAUUAUUGUAUGGACUGAAGUGCAAGUGGAGGACAAGGGGUUGGGAGAGGAAGUGACUUUAGCAAAUUGUCCUCAAGCUGGUAAGAAGCAGAUCUCUGAGACUUUCUACUGGGAUAUGGAGUUUUGGGGCAAAAAGGAGAAUGGAGAUCAACACUGAUAUUUAUUUAUUCAUUUUUAAAUAUGCACUUUCAGAUAG
Long non-coding RNA from Rhinopithecus roxellana (golden snub-nosed monkey), 736 nucleotides. RefSeq lists it as uncharacterized. The transcript has 4 exons. Lineage: Eukaryota; Metazoa; Chordata; Mammalia; Primates; Cercopithecidae. The record is from RefSeq and is a predicted model, not a curated record.